This 1125-nucleotide unclassified non-coding RNA is filed under the name Leishmania donovani. Its description in RNAcentral is "gene:unknown". Lineage: Eukaryota; Euglenozoa; Kinetoplastea; Trypanosomatida; Trypanosomatidae. The record is from RNAcentral.
CGCCCCUCGGCGCCCAAUAACAGGGGGCAGAGAUGAGCACACACACCCACACGAAAACAACGUGCAGAACAAAACACACCGUGCACGAUAUAUGUAUAUAUACAUAUAUAUGUAUAUAUAUCCUAUAGAACGGCGGCCUACACGAGUGCAGAUCUCUUCUUUGUUUUUCCUUUGCUCGCCUGUUCGCUGGCUUUGCCCUGACAACAAGGAUGCUGAGCUCCCUACGCAGCAGGGGGCCUCGUUACCCAGUCCCGCACGGACACCUGCCCGCACGCUGGCUUCCUGCAGCGCCAGGGGACUGGAAGUGACAACAUGGCGUGCAGGUGGGUUUGCUGCUCAUUUUUUUUCGUCGCUUUAUGCACCACAGGCUUCUCCCCUUCGUUUUUUUUUGUCGUCCCCCUCCCCUGCGCUUAUCGAUAUUUCACGUCCUGGCAGUACCGCGCACCGCGACGGAAAGGGUGUCCCCCAUCCCUUCUUGAUUUGCUAUCCCAACGCCACGCCCUGUGAUAGAGGCAUUUCGUCGUGUCGCUCGUACAUUUUGAUGCGCAGCAGCUUAACGGGUCCUUCUUCCUGUAUGCGAGCAGGCGUUGGUGCGGUGGUGACGGCGGUGCUGGCCUCCGUUGCAUGUUUCCCACCUGCACGUGCCCUCUCGCGAGACCUACCGGGAUCACGGUGCGGCCUCUCAACUUGAUUCGUAUUCCAACGUUUUUUUUUUGUUCUGCCUUUCUUCAUCUGCUUUGUGACUUCAACGAUUUAUAUCUGUGUGAGCCCCUGCGCGAAGCGCAACAGAAAACAGGAUGUGGCUAGCGAAGGCGGUCGCCACCGCUCUGCCCCCCAUCCUCCCCUUCCCAUUCCUCUAUAAAAGGCAAAGAAGAACCACCCGCUUGUAUUGGUGUGCUCUUACUCGUGGAUGAAUCCGUAAAGACAGCUCUGUGCAGGUGCUCACAAGGCAGCUUGUGCCCGUGGCUUUUCUCUCGAGAGUGGAUAGUCUGCACCUUCUUCACUGCGGAUGGGCUGGGCACUCGAUUGUACCCCGAUGUGGAAUGUGGUGAAGCUUGUGACCAGCUUGUCAGUCGUUCGUGGCGUGCUCUCCUUCUCUUCUGGUUCCCUCCUCCCCUGCACCCC